RNAcentral lists this ribosomal RNA (381 nucleotides) under uncultured soil bacterium. RNAcentral's name for it is "bacterial SSU rRNA". It matches the Rfam family "Bacterial small subunit ribosomal RNA", at positions 26 to 410 of the family's 1533-position model. The record is from RNAcentral.
AGAUUGAACGCUGGCGGCAGGCCUAACACAUGCAAGUCGAGCGGUAGAGAGGUGCUUGCAUCUCUUGAGAGCGGCGGACGGGUGAGUAAUGCCUAGGAAUCUGCCUAGUGGUGGGGGAUAACGUUCGGAAACGGACGCUAAUACCGCAUACGUCCUACGGGAGAAAGCGGGGACCUUCGGGCCUCGCGCCAUUAGAUGAGCCUAGGUCGGAUUAGCUAGUUGGUGAGGUAAUGGCUCACCAAGGCGACGAUCCGUAGCUGGUCUGAGAGGAUGAUCAGUCACACUGGAACUGAGACACGGUCCAGACUCUAUGGGAGCAGCAGUGGGGAAUAGUUGGACAAGUGGGCGAAAGCCUGAUCCAGCCAUGCCGCGUGUGUGAAG